CGUGAGGGAAAGGUGAAAAGAACCCCGGGAGGGGAGUGAAAGAGAACCUGAAACCGUAUGUCUACAAGCAGUCGGAGCGAAAGCGACGGCGUGCCUAUUGAAGAAUGAACCAACGAGUUACGUGCACUAGCGAGGUUAAGUGGAAGACACGGAGCCGAAGCGAAAGCGAGUCUUAAGAGGGCGAAUAGUUAGUGUACGUAGACCCGAAACCGCAGUGAUCUACCCAUGUCCAGGUUGAAGCGCAGGUAAAAUUGCGUGGAGGACCGAACCUGUGAGCGUUGAAAAGCUUUAGGAUGAGAUGUGGGUAGAGGUGAAAUUCCAAUCGAACGCGGAGAUAGCUGGUUCUCCCCGAAAUAGCUUUAGGGCUAGCCUCAAGUAGUAAGUAUAGGCGGUAGAGCACUGAUCGGGCUAGGGGCCAUAAAGGUUACCGAACCCUGUCAAACUCCGAAUGGUUAUACUGUAGAGCUUGGGAGUCAGACUACGAGUGAUAAGAUCCGUGGUCAAAAGGGAAACAGCCCAGACCACCAGCUAAGGUCCCCAAUGUCGUACUAAGUGGAAAAGGAUGUGGGGUCUCUAAAACAACCAGGAUGUUGGCUUAGAAGCAGCCACCAUUUAAAGAGUGCGUAAUAGCUCACUGGUCGAGAGACCCUGCGCCGAAGAUUACCGGGGCUAAAGUACGAAACCGAAGCUGUGGCUACGACGUAAGUCGUGGGGUAGGGGAGCGUUCUGUGAGGGCUGAAGUCGUUCUGUAAGGAACGGUGGACUUCACAGAAGUGAGAAUGUUGGUAUGAGUAGCGAAAAGAAUGGUGAGAAUCCAUUCCACCGAAAGCAUAAGGAUUCCUGGGCAACGAUCGUCGUCCCAGGGUAAGUCGGGACCUAAUCCGAGGCAUGGAGCGUAGGAGAUGGACAACUGGCAGAUAUUCCAGUACCGGUAAUGAUUGUUUGAGCGAUGGAGUGACACAGGAGGGCAGGCAGGCAGGAGAUUGGUUGUUCCUGUACAAGCGUGUAGGAUGGGUUGUAGGCAAAUCCGCAACCUGUGAGUCUGAGGCGUGAUGUGGAGGUUCCGGAAACGGAACCGAAGCUGCUGACCCCACACUGUCGAGAAAAGCUUCUAGUUAGAGAAUUACCGCCCGUACCGUAAACCGACACAGGUAUGCGGGGAGAGAAUCCUAAGGUGCGCGGGAGAACCCUCGUUAAGGAACUCGGCAAAAUGUACCCGUAACUUCGGGAUAAGGGUAGCCGCUGUUGUGAAGUCUGUACAGAUGGAGCAUGAGGCGGUCGCAGAGAAGAGGCCCAAGCGACUGUUUACCACAAACACAGGUGCCUGCUAAAGAGAAAUCUGACGUAUAGGUGCUGACACCUGCCCAGUGCCGGAAGGUUAAGGAAGGAUGUCCGGAGCAAUCCAAAGCAUUCGACCGAAGCCCCGGUGAACGGCGGCCGUAACUAUAACGGUCCUAAGGUAGCGAAAUUCCUUGUCGGGU
RNAcentral lists this ribosomal RNA (1481 nucleotides) under human gut metagenome. Its description in RNAcentral is "bacterial LSU rRNA". It matches the Rfam family "Bacterial large subunit ribosomal RNA", at positions 502 to 1977 of the family's 2925-position model. The record is from RNAcentral.